Molecule: long non-coding RNA, 476 nt
Filed under: Mytilus galloprovincialis (Mediterranean mussel)
Lineage: Eukaryota; Metazoa; Mollusca; Bivalvia; Mytilida; Mytilidae
Source: RNAcentral
AGAUUUAUUGUAAAAACAUUGUCAGCAUGCUAGCAGAAGUAACAUCAAGGAGUGAGAUGAUAUUUCUUAGUACAAAUGCAAAAAAGGAUGGUAAAAGUAUGUACCUGCCAUUGGAAAAUUUAAUUUUUCAAAUAUUUAAAUAUAUCCAGUAAGGAGUCGUUAGGAACUUUUUUGUCGCAUAUGUUUUAAAACGUCUUGAAUAAUAAUAUGUUUAUCAAAAGUGCAUCCUUGAAUACCACGUAUGAUAAAUGUCACAAUAGAUAUAUACACGAGAGGCAAACGGGAGAUCGUAAAACCCUUGACAAAAGCAAAAUGAAUAGUUAUAAACGUCGUUUAAUAUUUUUUAAUUAAAUUUUUAACAGCUUUUUGGCUCGGUGGAUCAGAUCGAGCUACUGAAGGUGUGUGGGUAUGGACAACUAGUGGACAGGGGUUUACAGUAACUGAUUGGCAUACAUAUGCACCUACUUUACACGAAC